CCUACGGGAGGCAGCAGUGAGGAAUAUUGGUCAAUGGCCGUAAGGCUGAACCAGCCAAGUCGCGUGAAGGAAGAAGGAUCUAUGGUUUGUAAACCUCUUUUAUAGGGGAAUAAAGGUAUCCACGUGUGGAUAUUUGCAUGUACCCUAUGAAUAAGCAUCGGCUAACUCCGUGCCAGCAGCCGCGGUAAUACGGAGGAUGCGAGCGUUAUCCGGAUUUAUUGGGUUUAAAGGGUGCGUAGGUUGUUUUUUAAGUCAGCGGUGAAAGUUUGUGGCUCAACCAUAAAAUUGCCGUUGAAACUGGAAGACUUGAGUGUGUGAGAGGUAGGCGGAAUGCGUGGUGUAGCGGUGAAAUGCAUAGAUAUCACGCAGAACUCCGAUUGCGAAGGCAGCUUACUAAGCCAUAACUGACACUGAAGCACGAAAGCGUGGGGAUCGAACAGGAUUAGAUACCCGAGUAGUC
Molecule: ribosomal RNA, 460 nt
Filed under: uncultured bacterium
Lineage: Bacteria
Description: partial 16S ribosomal RNA
Rfam family: Bacterial small subunit ribosomal RNA
Source: RNAcentral